RNAcentral lists this transfer RNA (73 nucleotides) under Treponema sp. Its description in RNAcentral is "tRNA-fMet(cat)". It matches the Rfam family "tRNA". Rfam says of the family: Transfer RNA (tRNA) molecules are approximately 80 nucleotides in length. Their secondary structure includes four short double-helical elements and three loops (D, anti-codon, and T loops). The record is from RNAcentral. Lineage: Bacteria; Pseudomonadati; Spirochaetota; Spirochaetia; Treponematales; Treponemataceae.
CGCGGGGUAGAGCAGUUGGCAGCUCGUCGGGCUCAUAACCCGGAGGCCGUAGGUUCGAGUCCUACCCCCGCUA